This 356-nucleotide ribosomal RNA is filed under the name Sesamia jansei. Its description in RNAcentral is "partial 16S large subunit ribosomal RNA". Lineage: Eukaryota; Metazoa; Arthropoda; Insecta; Lepidoptera; Noctuidae. The record is from RNAcentral.
GGAUUGGAUGAGAUAUAAUCUGUCUCUUAAUUAUAAAAUAGAAUUUAAUUUUUUAAUUAAAAAGUUAAAAUAUGUUAAAAAGACGAGAAGACCCUAUAGAGUUUUAUAAUUUAAGAUAAUUAAGAUUAUUUAUAAAAUAAAAAUUGAAAUUAUUUUAUUUAUUUUGUUGGGGUGACAGAAAAAUAUAAAAAACUUUUUAUAUAGAAAAACAUUGAUAAAUGAUUAGAUGAUCCAAUAUUAUUGAUUAUAAGAAAAAAUUACCUUAGGGAUAACAGCGUAAUUUUUUUUUUUAGUUCACAUAAAAAAAAGAGUUUGCGACCUCGAUGUUGGAUUAAGAUAAAAUUUAAAUGCAGAAG